GGACUACCGGGGUAUCUAAUCCUGUUUGCUCCCCACGCUUUCGUGCCUGAUCGUCAGUUCUGGUCCAGGAAGCCGCUUUCGCCACUGAUGUUCCUUCGGAUAUCUACGCAUUUCACCGCUACACCCGAAAUUCCGCUUCCCUCUGCCGAACUCUAGCUAUCCAGUAUCGAAUGCAAUUCCCAGGUUGAGCCCGGGGAUUUCACAUCCGACUUAAAUAACCGACUACGCACGCUUUACGCCCAGUAAUUCCGAUUAACGCUUGCACCCUCUGUAUUACCGCGGCUGCUGGCAC
RNAcentral lists this ribosomal RNA (292 nucleotides) under uncultured bacterium. RNAcentral's name for it is "partial 16S ribosomal RNA". The record is from RNAcentral.